RNAcentral lists this long non-coding RNA (460 nucleotides) under Marmota monax (woodchuck). The record is from RNAcentral. Lineage: Eukaryota; Metazoa; Chordata; Mammalia; Rodentia; Sciuridae.
CCCAAAGGCUUGUGUGCGGACGCACUUGCGUGAGGGAUUCCUGCCACCUUCUGUGCUGUGGGGCAAAGCUUGUUCCUCUCCCGCUCAGCCGCGCAGGUUGAAUUGACCAAAGCAAUGGUUAUGGAGAAGCCUAGUCCCCUGCUGGUCGGGCGGGAGUUUGUGAGACAGUAUUACACACUGCUGAACCAGGCCCCAGACAUGCUACAUAGAUUUUAUGGAAAGAACUCUUCCUAUGUUCAUGGGGGAUUGGAUUCAAAUGGAAAGCCAGCAGAUGCAGUCUAUGGACAGAAAGAAAUUCACAGGAAGGUGAUGUCACAAAACUUCACCAACUGCCACACUAAGAUUCGCCAUGUUGAUGCUCAUGCUACUCUAAAUGAUGGUGUGGUGGUCCAGGUGAUGGGUCUUUUAUCAAACAACAACCAGGCUUUGCGGAGAUUCAUNGUGGUAAAGCACCUCUGGA